Molecule: long non-coding RNA, 1883 nt
Filed under: Homo sapiens (human)
Lineage: Eukaryota; Metazoa; Chordata; Mammalia; Primates; Hominidae
Description: PREDICTED lncRNA (TCONS_00158325)
Source: RNAcentral
UUUUUUUUUUUUUUAGUAGAGAUGGGGUUUCACCACGUUGGCCAGGCUGGUCUCGAACUCCUGACCUCAGGUGAUCCGCCCGCCUCGGCCUCCCAAAGUGCUGGAAUUACAGGCAUGAGCCACCGUGCCCGGCCUUUUACAGAUAAUUUUAAGUCAAACUUUGCAUAGUUUUCCAAGUUGAGUUAAAAUUCUCUAUGAAAAUAAUUUAUCUAUCAUUUACCAAAUGUAAUACUGAAAAUAUGUGAAAGAUACUGAUUCACAGAUUCAACAAACCCAAAGAAUCCCAAGCAUCAUAAAUACGAAGAAAUACUCAACUAGAUUCAUCUCAGUGAAGUUGUCAAAAAUAGAGAUCAUAAAAUUAGCAUAGAAAGCAGCAAAAAUUAGAUACUUUCUCGUCCAUGUGGUAAUGUAUUAGAACUUAAUUCCUUUUUAUGGCUGAAUAAUACUCCAUUGUAUGUAUAUACUACAUUUUGUUUAUCCAUUCAUCUGUUUUUUGGACACUUGGAUUGUUUCCAUUUUUGGCUAUGUGAAUAAUGCCACUCUGAAAAUUCAUAUACAAGUAUCUGCUUUCAGUUUCUUUUGAAAACCUGCUUAUUUUUGACAUAUCUUUUGUUUAUAAGCACAAAUCUAUUUAGAAUAAAGCCAGUGGAUAUUUUAUUUCCACAAUCCUUUCAUAAAUACUGUAAGCUCUUACUCUGAGCCAUCAAUAGUUACCAAGAGCACUAUAUAAUAAUCAGAAGCAGCAGCCAGCAGUUAUCUACUGACAAACUCGUUUUUUAUUUUAUUUUAUUUUUUGAGACGGAAUCUUGCCCUGUCUUCCAGGCUGGAGUGCAAUGGCAUGAUCUUGGCUCACCGCAACCUCUGCCUCCCGGGCUCAAAUUAUUCUCCUGCCUCAGCCUUCCGAGUGGCUGGGAUUACAGGUGCCCACCACCACACCCAGCUAAUUUUUGUAUUCUUAGUAGAGAUGGGGUUUCACCAUGUUGGUCAGGCUGGUCUCAAACUCCUGACCUCGUGAUCUGCCCUCCUUGGCCUCCCACAGUGCUGGGAUUACAGGCAUGAGCCACCGCGCCCAGCCCAAACUUGUUUUUAAUUUGCCAAAAACCCUGUGACAUUUAUGUAUUGACAAAAAUUCUCUUCCUGAUCAAAUUUUACUCAGGCUCUCCUGAACCCUUUUCAACUAGGCCUGACUUUUGGACUUCCACAUUCAUCUCUGCACCAUUCAGUUUUAGCAAGAAUCCUGUGAAGCAAGUUUAGCCAGAACCCCCCAUCCAUGACAUGUGAUCCCCCAACCAUCCUCCAGGUGAUGCCUAGUUACUGUGACCUGCCUUCAACUAGAAUCCUCUUAGGUCAAUUUAUCCAGAAUCUCUCCUCACAUCUGAUGUUUUCUUUUAGUAAUUUGUCAUCCACUGACCCCACCCUGCUCCUUAGCUACCACUUCCCACUUGCCCAUGUCAUAUUCAGAUUGAGUCCAAUCAUUCUCCAUUGUAGUGGUUCCUAUAGCUAUUGGCAUGGCCCCUCUUGAAAAAAGUCUUCCUUACUAUGCUUUAACAAGUGUCAAAAAUAAUUUUUCUGUGUGUAUUUUAAUAUGUUAUUUCUCCCUUGGGCCAACAUAACUAGGAAGAAAACUUCAAAUAAUGCUUAAGAGAAGUUUAUACUACCUUUUGGUCUUUAAAAUUUUCAUUUCUGGAUAAACUUAGUUUUAUCUCAGGGAAGUGCUGUCCUUCCUCUAGCUCUAGGAUCAAAAUUACUGUAGUAGGCUCAAUAAAGUUUUUCAAAGACAUCAGGUCCUAGUCUCUAGAACCCCUAAAUGUUAACCGUAUUUGGAAAAAGGGUCUUUGCAGAUGUGAUUAAAGAUUUUGAGAUAGGGAGGUUAUAAAAGUAAG